GUGCACCAGUCGAGAAACUUUACAAUGUGCGAAAGCACGAUAAGGGAACUCUGAGUGCCUCCUAAGGAGGCUGUUCAGGUGUCUAAAAGCACCUGAAGGAAGGGCUGGGUAAGACCGGUGCCAGCCGCCGCGGUAACACCGGCAGCCCAAGUGGUAGCCACGUUUAUUGGGUCUAAAGCGUCCGUAGCCGGCUGGGUAAGUUCCUUGGGAAAUUUGGCUGCUUAACAGUCAAGCUUUCAGGGAAUACUGCCCGGCUUGGGACCGGGAGAGGUCAGAGGUACUCCAGGGGUAGGGGUGAAAUCCAUUAAUCCUUGGGGGACCACCGGUAGCGAAGGCGUCUGACCAGACCGGGUCCGACGGUGAGGGACGAAGGCUAGGGGCGCGAACCGGAUUAGAUACCCCC
RNAcentral lists this ribosomal RNA (403 nucleotides) under uncultured microorganism. RNAcentral's name for it is "bacterial SSU rRNA". It matches the Rfam family "Archaeal small subunit ribosomal RNA", at positions 330 to 740 of the family's 1478-position model. The record is from RNAcentral.